Molecule: long non-coding RNA, 839 nt
Organism: Numida meleagris (helmeted guineafowl)
Lineage: Eukaryota; Metazoa; Chordata; Aves; Galliformes; Numididae
Exons: 3
Source: RefSeq, a predicted model, not a curated record
CUGCAUUCAGACAUGGUGAAUGAUUUCAUCUUUAUGGAGGAUUUCCAGCAAGUCCUUCUUCAGAGAAGAAAGUUAUACAUGAUGCUUGGUAACAACACAGGCAAAAGUCAAGUUAUUGCUGAAGACUGUUAAGCCAAGGUUGUCGAUUGAGAAGAUUCACCAGGAUUUCUCCCUCUUGGAUUUCUCUGUCAUUCCCAGGCAUCGGAUUUGCUGUCACAGGUGUUAUAUCUGAGCUGCAGUCCAGAAAUCCAAGACUCUAGGAAGACAGAGCAGAGAGUAGUCUCAUGCUUCAAUAAACUGAUGGGAAUUCAAUUACUGAGUCUAAUAUUGUUCUUGGUUUAAGUCAACAGGAGAUAAACUUGCAAAGCGAGGGCACAAAUGCACCCUUAAAAGUUUCUGAGGUGAUAAACACUCUGCUUUCUUUGAUUUCAGAAGGAACUGCAUGGCCUUGCCAUCUGAGGCGAAAGUUUACAAACAAUAUCAUCUUUAUUUCAUUUAUUCCUUGAUGUUUAGAGGACUGUUGAAAGUCUCCAAGACAAGUGAAUAAGAGCUUUCACAGCUGAGAAAUGGAAUAUAAAUUCAGCUACUUGAGUAGCCAUUGAACAUUUGUUCAAGAUACUUGCCUUUUUUUUUCUGUAACUUGUUUCUCUUGUCUCAUCUAUCAGCCAAUUACAAGAUUCUCCAAACUGCUUGGAUUGUCAAUUCCUUAACCAAAGAACAGACUUAACUUUUGAAAUAAGCUCUGUGAUUUGUUAUUCCUAUUGUUUCUGAUGUCUACUUUGAUUGCAUAUGUAAGUAAUGCAUAUAAGUAGCCAGUAUAAUACAAAUUGCAACCCUUA